GCUGUGAGCUCGAUGAGUAGGGCGGGACACGUGGUAUCCUGUCUGAAUAUGGGGGGACCAUCCUCCAAGGCUAAAUACUCCUGACUGACCGAUAGUGAACCAGUACCGUGAGGGAAAGGCGAAAAGAACCCCGGCGAGGGGAGUGAAAAAGAACCUGAAACCGUGUACGUACAAGCAGUGGGAGCCCCACCACCAAAGCAUUCUCUGGUGUUGAAGGCCCUGCAAAGCAGCAUCGCGGUGGCGGAGCGUCGUUUGCGACGCCCAACACACAAAACAAGCGGUGAAUGCUUUGGGGUGGGGUGACUGCGUACCUUUUGUAUAAUGGGUCAGCGACUUAUAUUCUGUAGCAAGGUUAACCGUAUAGGGGAGCCGUAGGGAAACCGAGUCUUAACCGGGCGUUAAGUUGCAGGGUAUAGACCCGAAACCCGGUGAUCUAGCCAUGGGCAGGUUGAAGGUUGGGUAACACUAACUGGAGGACCGAACCGACUAAUGUUGAAAAAUUAGCGGAUGACCUGUGGCUGGGGGUGAAAGGCCAAUCAAACCGGGAGAUAGCUGGUUCUCCCCGAAAGCUAUUUAGGUAGCGCCUCGUGAAUUCAUCUCCGGGGGUAGAGCACUGUUUCGGCUAGGGGGCCAUCCCGGCUUACCAACCCGAUGCAAACUGCGAAUACCGGAGAAUGUUAUCACGGGAGACACACGGCGGGUGCUAACGUCCGUCGUGAAGAGGGAAACAACCCAGACCGCCAGCUAAGGUCCCAAAGUCAUGGUUAAGUGGGAAACGAUGUGGGAAGGCCCAGACAGCCAGGAUGUUGGCUUAGAAGCAGCCAUCAUUUAAAGAAAGCGUAAUAGCUCACUGGUCGAGUCGGCCUGCGCGGAAGAUGUAACGGGGCUAAACCAU
RNAcentral lists this ribosomal RNA (895 nucleotides) under Salmonella enterica subsp. enterica serovar Mikawasima. RNAcentral's name for it is "partial 23S ribosomal RNA". It matches the Rfam family "Bacterial large subunit ribosomal RNA", at positions 396 to 1190 of the family's 2925-position model. The record is from RNAcentral. Lineage: Bacteria; Pseudomonadati; Pseudomonadota; Gammaproteobacteria; Enterobacterales; Enterobacteriaceae.